RNAcentral lists this ribosomal RNA (368 nucleotides) under uncultured bacterium. RNAcentral's name for it is "bacterial SSU rRNA". It matches the Rfam family "Bacterial small subunit ribosomal RNA", at positions 28 to 390 of the family's 1533-position model. The record is from RNAcentral.
GAUGAACGCUAGCGGCAGGCUUAAUACAUGCAAGUCGAGGGCAGCAGGGUGUAGCAAUACAUCGCUGGCGACCGGCAAACGGGUGCGGAACACGUACGCAACCUUCCUUCAAGUGAGGGAUAGCCCAGGGAAACUUGGAUUAAUACCUCGUAACAUUGUGAAGUGGCAUCACUUUAUAAUUAUAGCUCAGGCGCUUGAAGAUGGGCGUGCGACUGAUUAGGUAGUUGGCGGAGUAACAGCCCACCAAGCCUGCGAUCAGUAACUGGUGUGAGGGCACGACCAGUCACACGGGCACUGAGACACGGGCCCGACUACCUACGGGAGGCAGCAGUAAGGAAUAUUGGUCAAUGGACGACAAGUCUGAACCA